UACGGCAGCGUACCAGUAGCGAGGUAUAGAGUUCCUACGUGAUUUUAAUUUAUUGUAGGAACUUCAUACCGUGCUCUUGGACAUGCCAAAUUCA
Molecule: microRNA precursor, 94 nt
Filed under: Trialeurodes vaporariorum (greenhouse whitefly)
Lineage: Eukaryota; Metazoa; Arthropoda; Insecta; Hemiptera; Aleyrodidae
Description: microRNA mir-276
Rfam family: mir-276 microRNA precursor family
Source: RNAcentral